UUUCCGUAGGUGAACCUGCGGAAGGAUCAUUAAAAAAUGGCACAACUUUAAAAUGUGCAUUAAUAAUCCUACCCUUUGUGAAUUUGUUUGUUUGAAAUAAUUUUUUUUUUUUAGAAAAAUUAUUGAAUGUCUUUCCCUGUUGAAUUGGAAUACGUUUUCGGACGUUGAAAAUUCACAGGGGGAUGAUAGUCAAUAAUUUUUUAUUUAAAAAAAGACCUUUUUUUUAAAAUAAACUUUUUGUAUUCAUUUGUCUAAAAUUAUUUUUAUAAUAUAAAAACCACUUUUGACAAUGGAUCUCUUGGUUCUCGCAACGAUGAAGAACGCAGCAAAUGCGAUAAGUAGUGUGAAUUGCAGAAUACGUGAAUCAUCGAAUCUUCGAACGCAUAUUGCACUUUUUUAGUUUACUAAAAAAGUAUGUCUGUUUGAGUAUCAGUAAAAUAUUCUCAUAAAAACUUUUUGUUUUUAUGGUUAUGAGUGUUUUACAACGAUACAAGUUGUUUCACUUUAAAUUUUUUUUUAAAAUUUGAAAAAUUUUCUAAUUUUAAAAUAAAAUUGGAUAAAAUUUUCCCGUAAAAAGGAAUAAGCCUAAACAAUUUUGAUUUAAUAUUAGGAAUUUUCAAAAAUAAAAGGAAAAUUUAUUUAAAAAUAACUUGAUCUCAAAUCAGAUAAGAGUACCCGCUGAACUUAAGCAUAUCAAUAAGCGGAGGAAAAGAAACUAACAAGGAUUCCCUUAGUAACGGCGAGUGAAGCGGGAAGAGCUCAAAUUUGAAAUCUUCAAGGUUUUACCUUGACGAAUUGUAGUUUAAAGAAGUGUUUUCUGUUGAGGUUUCGGUAAAAGUUCUUUGGAAUAGGACAUCAUAGAGGGUGAGAAUCCCGUAUUUGACCGUUAUUUUCAGCUGUGUGAUACACUUUCAAAGAGUCGGAUUGUUUGGGAAUGCAGUCCAAAAUGGGUGGUAAAUUUCAUCUAAAGCUAAAUAUUGGCGAGAGACCGAUAGCGAACAAGUACCGUGAGGGAAAGAUGAAAAGAACUUUGAAAAGAGAGUUAAACAGUACGUGAAAUUGUCAAAAGGGAAGCGUUUGACACCAGUGUUGUUUUCUCGAAAAUCAAUUAAAAAGAGUUUGAUUUUGUUGUGUAUUGACCUUAACAGCUUGCAUUUCAAUUUUCUUGCUUUUUUUAAUGCACUUUUCGUUUAAACGAGUCAACAUCAGUUUCUUUUGUUGUAAAAAGGUCAUUGGAAGGUGGCUUCCUUUUCGGAGAAAGUGUUUAUAGCCUUUGACUUCUGCAAUCGGAGAGACUGAGGUCUGCAGCGUAGAUCCUUCGGGGUUAGAUACAUUUGUGCUAAGUUAUAGCUUUUUAUAGACAACUUGUUGACUAUGAUUAGUCUUGUAGCUUACUCGCUUAUGCUAUUUACCUACGCUUAGGAUGUUG
RNAcentral lists this unclassified non-coding RNA (1429 nucleotides) under uncultured Neocallimastigales. RNAcentral's name for it is "partial contains small subunit ribosomal RNA, internal transcribed spacer 1, 5.8S ribosomal RNA, internal transcribed spacer 2, and large subunit ribosomal RNA". The stretch from base 652 to 1429 matches the Rfam family "Eukaryotic large subunit ribosomal RNA", at positions 1 to 628 of the family's 3401-position model. Lineage: Eukaryota; Fungi; Neocallimastigomycota; Neocallimastigomycetes; Neocallimastigales. The record is from RNAcentral.